This is an RNA transcript of Etheostoma cragini (Arkansas darter), 5722 nucleotides long. It is a transcript of the gene named rabaptin, RAB GTPase binding effector protein 1, with no coding region annotated. The record is from RefSeq and is a predicted model, not a curated record. Lineage: Eukaryota; Metazoa; Chordata; Actinopteri; Perciformes; Percidae. The transcript has 20 exons.
UUGUAUUCGUAUUGAUUACGACUCAAACAGACGUCGUCCAGUAAUGACAUAUUGAUUUUAUUUUGAAAGUUUAAGCAAAAAGCUUACCCCCUCGCUAGCUUAACACCAGUUGUGAUGUUAGCCUGUUUUCUUGGACACUCCUAGCGCCUAUCCUACUGCCCUGGUAAUUUCCUCAAUCCCACCUCAGGAAACCAUGGCCGAGCAGGCCUCGGGACCCCCUCUCUCGUCCCAACAUGACGAGGUGCUCCAGCAGCGAGUGGCUGCUUUGGAGCAGGAGAGGGCCGAGUUUAUCAAACUCAAGCAGCAGCUGGAGGCCGAGUUCAACCAGAAACGAGCCAAGUUCAAAGAGCUCUACCUGUCCAAGGAAGAGGAGCUGAAGAGGCAGAACGUGGUGCUGGAGGGCGCUCAGGUUGAGCUGAGCGCCCUCCAGGCCCAGCUGUCUCAAGCCCGGACCGAGAUGGAGACCAUCAAAGCGGUUGCCACUGUGUCAGAAAACACCAAGCAGGAAGCCAUAGACCAGGUCCGCAGCCAGUGGCAGGAGGAUGUGGCCUCGCUGCAGGCCGUCAUGAAAGAAACUGUGUGCGAGUACGAGGUCCAGUUCCACCAGCGUCUGGAGCAGGAGCGAGCCCAGUGGAACCAGUAUCGGGAGGCAGUGGAGAGGGAACUGGGUGAGCUGAGACGCCGCCUCACUGAGGGCCAGGAGGAGGAGAACCUGGAGGACGAAAUGAAAAAAGCCCAGGAGGAUGCGGAAAAGCUGCGUUCAGUGGUGAUGCCCAUGGAGCAUGAGAUCGCAGCCCUGAAAGCCAAGCUGGCUACAGCUGAGGGCAGGGUGAAGGAGCUGGAGGCAUCUAAGGUCAAGGAGCUCAACCAUGUUCUUGAGGCUGAGAAGUCGUGUCGCACGGACCUUGAGAUGUAUGUAGCCGUGUUGAACACUCAGAAGUCUGUCCUGCAGGAAGAUGCAGAAAAACUACGGAAAGAGCUCCACGAAGUUUGUCACAAGCUGGAGUUGGAGCGGCAGCAGCACAACCAGCUAAAACACACAUGGCAGAGAGCCAACGACCAGUUCCUCGAGUCCCAGCGCCUCCUCAUGAGGGACAUGCAGAGGAUAGAGAGCGUGCUGUCCUCAGAACAGCUCCGCCAGGUAGAGGAGAUGAAGAAGAAAGACCAGGAGGAGGAUGAGAAAGAGAGACUGAUCCAAGUGAAGGAGCUGCAUGAGGAGGAUGUGGGAGACAACACCGAGCCUCUUGAGGAUUUAUUCCUCGGGCUGAGCGUUGAGGAGCCCCAUGCCAACCACAGCGGCCAUGGGUCUAUGCACUCCUUAAACACUGAUGUGGUAGCAGGCGUCCUCAUGGACCCAUACAAGGAAAACCUGCGGAGAGUUCAGUCAACAGACAGCCUCGGCUCUUCGCUGUCCGUCCAGCAGGGCCUCGGCGGCCACAACCACAAGGCCAAGUCGGCCAGCCACUUGGACGAGUCGGACUUUGGGCCCUUGGUGGGGGCCGACGGGGUGACAGACAGUAGUUUUGGUGAAACUUCAUCCACCAGCUCCAUCAAGCUGACGGGGAGCCAUUUCCUGCUGACUAAAGAUCAGGAGAAAGCCAUCAAGGCCAUGACGCCCGAGCAGGAGGAGACGGCGUCGCUGCUCUCCAGCAUCUCCCACGCACCCGACAGCGCCUACGUAUCGCCGGCAGGCUACAGACUCGUCAGCGACAGCGAGUGGAACCUGCUGCAGCAAGAGGUAAAAAAUGCGGGCAGGAAGCUUGGCCGACGUUGUGACAUGUGCUCCAACUACGAGAAGCAGCUGCAGGCCAUCCAAGGACAAGAGGCCGAGACACGAGAUCAGGUGAAGAAAGUGCAGGUGAUGCUACGUCAGGCCAAUGAUCAGCUGGAAAGAACGAUGACUGAAAAACAGAAUUUGGAAGAUUCCGUCAAAGUCUGCAAUGAGGAAACCGCUGCAAAGGUGUCCGCUCUCAUCCAAAGAGUCCAGGAGUCAGAAACACUGCUCAGCACACUACAACAGGCUUUCAGUGAAGCAAAAAGGAACACACAGGAACAGAUGGUGGUGCUGGUGAAGUCGAGGGAGCAGGUGGCAGAUGAACUUAGCCGACUGCAGAGAGACAACGAGAGCCUGCAGGGAAAACACAGGCUGCACGUAGAACUGCAGCAACAGGAGGACUUCCAGAUGCCCAACACUGUGCAAGAGCUUCAAGGCCUGGUGCUGCUGUUACGUGAGGACCUGGUAGCGUUACGGACGUCCGCCGAUCACAUGGAAGAGAAGCUGAAAGCUGAGAUUCUGUUUCUGAAGGAGCAGAACCAGGCGGAGCAGUGUCUGAAGGAGAAUCUGGAGGAAACUCUGCAGCUGGAGAUUGAGGGCUGUAAGGAGGAGAUAGACAUCUUGGAAGCAUCUUUCUCCAGUCUAAAGACGGAGCUGGAGAGAAUAAAGAUGGAGAAGGAACAGUUGCAGACCAGUCUGGCAGAGAAGACUGAGACACUGGAAAGUAUCCAGGGCCUGAGGAGCCGCCUGGAGCAUCAGCUAAGAGAGCUCACCACUGCAAAGAGUGCACUAGAGAAUCAGGUGUUUGACGAGAAAGACAAAGCUCAGCGGCUGCAAACAGAGCUGGAUGUCAGUGAGCAGGUGCAGAAGGACUUUGUCAAACUUUCUCAGACCCUUCAGGUACAGCUGGAGCGAAUACGACAGGCGGACUCCUUGGAUCGAAUCAAAGUCAUCCUCAAUGACACCAACUUGACUGACAUCAACCAGCUUCCAGAUACAUGAUGCCACUGAAUGAAAACUGCCUUCAGUUGCAUUCCCCCCCUUUCUCUUAUCACUGGCCCCAUUAACAUUAUUGAUCCAACCCCCCCCCCUCCUCCUGCAUAACCACAAGAGACGAAGAGUUCGAAGGGACCGACAUGGCACGGGAAGCCUCUUUGUGUACAUUAAGAGUCUUGGAACACAUGAAGAAGAACACUACUAAAAAAAAUGUAAAUAACUUAAUGUGUGACUUUGAACAGAGGGAGUCCAUCUUCUGUGGGUCUGUCUGUGUCUUGUUUCUACUGUAGAUAUAUGACCGACUGUAUUAGCUCAACCAAAAAAGGUUUGUCGUCUUCUAAAAGCACUUUUCAUCUGCAACUUCUCUUUCCAGGUACAUAUAGAAAACAAGAUCCAUAACUUUUCUCCUUCUUGUUCUCAAAGCGGUUGCUAAUCGCUAGCGUGUUCCACUUGUUCUCUCCCAACCCCACACAUCUUUUUUGCUAUUUUUCUGUGACAUUUUUCACCUUGCUCUUGUCACUUAAUUCUGUGACACGAUGAAGGAGAUUCAUGGAAAAUACUUGCACGUAACUUAACUGAGAUGAAAAAUGGACCACCAUUUUAGCAAUACCCUCCAUAUCUGAAACAUCCUCGACUGUAUCUUGCUUUGCUCUUAAUGUCUCACAGAAAUCGUUUUGUUAUCUAAAGCUGCUGAAAUACAGUGAAGAAACAGUCAUGUCUUAUCAAAGUAUCAAAGUUUUAUUUCAAACUUGUUUCUUGCCGUUUAAGACACAUUUCACAGUGAAGAAAUUGCUUGGAGAGGAAGUGAAAAUGGAAAAUAAUGAAUUUUAAUACACACUUUGCUCCUUUUUUUAAAUUAAUUUAUUUUUUGAGUUUCUUGAUGUAAUUCUAAAGUUCUUAAAUUGCAGUGAGCUGCUUUUUGAUUAUAAUGGAAGCACUCACUAUCACAACACUGGCACGUGGUGUAUUUCUUCGGUCACUGCAGUAAGAGGCAGUCAGCUGGUAGGGGGACGCCUUAUUUAAGGACACUUUCAGAUGGUGGGAGAAAAACUAGUCUCUCACGAGCCGCCUUGCUACUCCCUGACCGAUUCAGGUCUCCCUCGGAAAAGAGAUUUCAGUCUCAAGGGACUUCCUGGUUAAAAUCAAAAUAAAUAAAAUUCAGUGGAUAAAAUACCAACAAAGGACAGAUUUACUUUAUAGUCGGUCUACGAGUUUCAUUUAUCACUACAAGACAUUCUGUUGUCUUUGAGGGUACUAAUGGAUUUAUUUAAAGUAAUAAUCUAAAAUUUUAAUUUAAAUGUCAGUUAAGUCACUAUCUAACUAAGUUCAACAUCCUGAAGACUAAGCUGCAAGUAUGCUUCAUCUGAGCUGCUUGUCAGGUAGUCUGAUAGCUUGAGAAACCUCCUCCCCCUGACACCUUUCUGUUUACGACCAUUUCUGUAACUUCUGACAAUCAGACAUUCAACCUAGUACUGUCACUUUUAAUGUUUAUUUAAAAAAAAUAACAUACGAAACAGUGAGUGGUUGUGGUUGUGUGACGAAGGGAGCUUAAAAGAAACCUUGGCUUCCUUUACCCCUUCACACACCUGGCCAACGGCUGCGUUGAUUGUCUGUUUUCAGAAAGUUGCUAAAAUUGUCUAAUGCAGAUUGAAAAGUGGAUGAGACGCUCUUGGAAGAUCUCUUAGUUUAAAGCAGAUGGAAGCCUUGACCCGUACUGAAAAUGAACAAUUGUGUUUUCUAAUAAUUCAGAUUCAGUGCAGUUGUUUAUUAAGCGAAGAAUUUUGACCACAGCCAGGCUGAGGCAGGCGGGAUUGCACAGGUGUCAUUUUUUAGGCAGAAAAGUUGCUCAUUUCCUCCAAAAACUUUACUUUCUGAUGGAAUAAAUGCAAUGCAAGAUGGAUAAUAGGACAUUAAAUGGGGUGGCAUGUUUUUUAAUCGGUCUAAGUAUGUGGUUCAUGUGCUGUCAGGUUUUAUUACGUAUUUGAUCAAUUUAAUACUUUAAAAUUAAAACAACAUUCACUAAACUACUUUAUAAUGUGCAGACAACAAAAAUCUGGUUUUGACAAACUCACUUAAUAAAUAUUAAUUAGGAAUUGUCAGGCAUGCUCUCCUUUGAAUAAAGGUUGCAACUUAAUGUUCUGCACUCACUUUAAAUGGUUAAUUCUGCAAAUAUUGAUUUUAUGGGAAAUAUAAAGUGUUGUGUUAAAAUAAAUAUUCCAGAAAUGGAAGGAAGAAUUUGCAAUUAAAACAAUAUAUACAUAAUCAUGCACACAGCAGCUUUUUAUGGUGUAAGAACAUGUUGAUUGCUGUUAUUUUUAGUUUUGUCUCGCAUGUAUUGCAUUUCCUUUUAUCUAUAAUGUAGAUAUCUUGAGUUGAUAUUUAUGAUAGAUUCAUGCAUUGUGUUAUGAGGUAAUUGGGAUGAGUGGGCAAGCCAGCCUGAAGUUGCACUGACAGAAAACUGUAUGUCUUUUUGGAUCGGAUGAUUGUGGGCUGAAAACUGAGAACUGGCAAAGUUAAAAGUAGAGAUAUGUGUGACCUGGAUAUUAUUUUUCUCUGAAAGGCCUUACUGCAUUGCGGCUUGUGUGUUUUUAAUUUUAUUUGUGACAUUUAAUGUCACUCUAGCUUAAUGUAUGACUAUUACAUUUACAAAUUUUACUCAUGGCCCAUAUGGCAUUAACAGGAAGAUUAUUGCAUUAUCAUUGCAGACGUUCACUAAUUUGUCAUGUUUAAGAGUUGAUUUAAUUAUAAUUUCUGAUUGUUUAAUUAUUUUUUUUAAUGUAAAUUGAAUCCCCAAAAUGAUUGGAGUGGAUGUUAAAAAUGAGAAUUUGUGUUCAGGGUGGAAGUCUGAAGGUCUGAAAGUUCACACUGCUAUUUUGUUUUUAGUGUAAAUAAAAUGUCACGAUAAAGCAGACUCAAAGCCUAAAUAUGAGUGAUCUGUAUUUAAGGCUAUGA